UACGGGGGGAGCAAGCGUUGUUCGGAUUUACUGGGCGUAAAGGGCGCGUAGGCGGCCAGCACACGUCAGUUGUGAAAUCUCCGAGCUUAACUCGGAAAGGUCAACUGAUACUGUGCGGCUAGAGUGCGGAAGGGGCAACUGGAAUUCUUGGUGUAGCGGUGAAAUGCGUAGAUAUCAAGAGGAACACCUGCGGCGAAGGCGGGUUGCUGGGCCGACACUGACGCUGAGGCGCGAAAGCUAGGGGAGCGAACGGG
This 254-nucleotide ribosomal RNA is filed under the name uncultured bacterium. RNAcentral's name for it is "partial 16S ribosomal RNA". It matches the Rfam family "Bacterial small subunit ribosomal RNA", at positions 524 to 776 of the family's 1533-position model. The record is from RNAcentral.